Molecule: ribosomal RNA, 433 nt
Filed under: uncultured bacterium
Lineage: Bacteria
Description: partial 16S ribosomal RNA
Rfam family: Bacterial small subunit ribosomal RNA
Source: RNAcentral
AACGAACGCUGGCGGCAUGCCUAACACAUGCAAGUCGAACGAGACCUUCGGGACUAGUGGCGCACGGGUGCGUAACGCGUGGGAACCUGCCCUUAGGUUCGGAAUAACUCCCCGAAAGGGGUGCUAAUACCGGAUAAUGUCUUCGGACCAAAGAUUUAUCGCCUUUGGAUGGGCCCGCGUUGGAUUAGCUAGUUGGUAGGGUAAAAGCCUACCAAGGCGACGAUCCAUAGCUGGUCUGAGAGGAUGAUCAGCCACACUGGGACUGAGACACGGCCCAGACUCCUACGGGAGGCAGCAGUGGGGAAUAUUGGACAAGGGGCGAAAGCCUGAUCCAGCAAUGCCGCGUGAGUGAUGAAGGCCUUAGGGUUGUAAAGCUCUUUUACCCGGGAUGAUAAUGACAGUACCGGGAGAAUAAGCUCCGGCUAACUCCGUG